RNAcentral lists this long non-coding RNA (484 nucleotides) under Homo sapiens (human). RNAcentral's name for it is "HSALNT0284417". The record is from RNAcentral. Lineage: Eukaryota; Metazoa; Chordata; Mammalia; Primates; Hominidae.
AGAGCUAUUUGAAUUCAGGGUUUUGAUGGCAAUAAUUAUAUUUAGUAAGAACUAAUCACUUUCAGAUUUUCAAAAAAACCAAAUGGAUGCUUUCCAAAAAUAGCUGAUUGCUUAUAAAAGUAUAAAUAUUUUCCCCGUAUAUGAGAAGACCAAUUGUGGGUUUUGCCUCCUUUAUAAAUUGGUUAAAUUAACAGUCUUACUUACAUCAUGAGGAAGUAGAUGAAUGGUUUAACCUCUACCACCAAGAAGAUUUAGUUGCAAUUUCAAGUGAUAGGAUGUUAUUACAUCUGGCAUUCAUAAAUUUAACUUUUAAAAAUGGGAUUUUAAAGGAAUGUACAGAAGCAAAAUUAUGCUAAUCAUAAUCUCAUCUCCUUUUAGAAGCUGCAGAGGUCAUGCAAUAUCUUACAGUGACUCUGGAGCAUCAUUUUGCACUCCAGUGAUUAUUGUGGCAGUAUUUUGUCAUGCAGAUUGCCUACCAUCACUU